Molecule: long non-coding RNA, 211 nt
Organism: Sphaeramia orbicularis (orbiculate cardinalfish)
Lineage: Eukaryota; Metazoa; Chordata; Actinopteri; Kurtiformes; Apogonidae
Exons: 3
Source: RefSeq, a predicted model, not a curated record
UAUAUUAAUUUCAUAUGGAUUUCUACAACCCGUUUUAAUUCCUGCUUAAUUUAUUACGUUUUAUAACUAGUUACGUCCUGACAUUUGCACUUAAAAGGUCAAGACUUUAGUCAAACAUUUCUCCAAGUACGACAUAAUUGUUUGUCAGGUGCAGCGGUUGUAGUAAAAACUGAAAAUAUGUCCAAACUUCGAGCCGAUUCCCUAAAAUGUU